CGUAACAAGGUCUCCGUAGGUGAACCUGCGGAGGGAUCAUUACACAAUAACAAGGCGGGCUGGACACCCCCAGCCGGGCACUGCUUCACGGCGUGCGCGGCUGGGCCGGCCCUGCUGAAUUAUUCACCCGUGUCUUUUGCGUACUUCUUGUUUCCUGGGUGGGCUCGCCCGCCAUCAGGACCAACCACAAACCUUUUGCAAUAGCAAUCAGCGUCAGUAACAACGUAAUUAAUUACAACUUUCAACAACGGAUCUCUUGGUUCUGGCAUCGAUGAAGAACGCAGCGAAAUGCGAUACGUAGUGUGAAUUGCAGAAUUCAGUGAAUCAUCGAAUCUUUGGACGCACAUUGCGCCCUUUGGUAUUCCAAAGGGCAUGCCUGUUCGAGCGUCAUUUGUACCCUCAAGCUUUGCUUGGUGUUGGGCGUCUUUUGUCUCCAGUUCGCUGGAGACUCGCCUUAAAGUCAUUGGCAGCCGGCCUACUGGUUUCGGAGCGCAGCACAAGUCGCGCUCUUUGCCAGCCAAGGUCAGCGUCCAGCAAGCCUUUUUUUUUCAACCUUUGACCUCGGAUCAGGUAGGGAUACCCGCUGAACUUAAGCAUAUCA
This 601-nucleotide ribosomal RNA is filed under the name uncultured fungus. RNAcentral describes it as "eukaryotic LSU rRNA". The stretch from base 237 to 390 matches the Rfam family "5.8S ribosomal RNA". Lineage: Eukaryota; Fungi. The record is from RNAcentral.